RNAcentral lists this ribosomal RNA (371 nucleotides) under uncultured bacterium. Its description in RNAcentral is "bacterial SSU rRNA". It matches the Rfam family "Bacterial small subunit ribosomal RNA", at positions 29 to 419 of the family's 1533-position model. The record is from RNAcentral.
AACGAACGCUGGCGGCAUGCCUAACACAUGCAAGUCGAACGGGAUCCUAGCUUGCUAGGUGAGAGUGGCGGACGGGUGAGUAACACGUGGGAAUCUGCCUUUUGGUUCGGGAUAACCGCGGGAAACUGCGGCUAAUACCGAAUGCCCUCGAGAGAGGAAAGAUUUAGUCGCCAGAAGAGGAGCCCGCGUCCGAUUAAGGUAGUUGGUGGGGUAAAGCCUACCAAGCCGACGAUCGGUAGCUGGUCUGAGAGGAUGAUCAGCCACACUGGGACUGAGAUACGGCCCAGACUCCUACGGGAGGCAGCAGUGGGAAUAUUGGACAAUGGGGGCAACCCUGAUCCAGCAAUGCCGCGUGAGUGAUGAAGGCCUUA